Molecule: ribosomal RNA, 251 nt
Filed under: uncultured prokaryote
Description: partial 16S rRNA
Rfam family: Bacterial small subunit ribosomal RNA
Source: RNAcentral
ACAGAGGUGGCGAGCGUUGUUCGGAUUUAUUGGGCGUAAAGCGAACGCAGGCGGUUUGGUAAGUCAGAGGUGAAAGACCACAGCUUAACUGUGGCACUGCCUUUGAUACUGCCUUUCUUGAGUGCAUGAGGGGGAAGCGGAAUUCCGAGUGUAGAGGUGAAAUUCGUAGAUAUUCGGAGGAACACCGGUGGCGAAGGCGGCUUCCUGGCAUGUAACUGACGCUCAUGUUCGAAAGCGUGGGUAGCAAACAG